AUGCGCCUCGGCUAUCUCAUCCUGGCUGCCUUCCUCAGGCACCCACUGGGCACCAUGGGGCAGGUCACUGUCAGCCAGCAAGAAGGACAAGUCACAGUGAAGCAGAGAGACACCUUCCAGAUCAAAUGCACUUACCAGACCUCCUACAGUCCUUACUUGUUCUGGUACCAGCAGAAGAGCAGCCAAGCUCCCCAGCUGCUCUCAUAUCAGGCAGCAGCUGGCCCCAAGCCCAGCGGCCGUCUGACCACGCUGCUGAACACCACGGGGAGAUACAGCCUGCUGCAGCUGGAGGAAGUGGAGGUCUCUGACAGUGCCUUGUACCUCUGUGCUGUGAGUGACACUCUGGUGCAGGAGCUUGCUUGGCUGUGCAAGAAGCUAUGGGUGGAAUGGGAUAUGAAGGACCUCCUCUUCUCAGUGCACUCUGCUGAUCUUGGAGGCUUCCCUUAG
Indicator indicator is the source of this 447-nucleotide non-coding RNA. The record is from the annotation of a RefSeq genome assembly. NCBI's taxonomy places the organism in Eukaryota, Metazoa, Chordata, Aves, Piciformes, Indicatoridae.